AACUUGGCACCUUUAGAUUUUCCGGAUAUAUAUAUAGGUGCUAAUUGAUUAAACUCUUGUUGGUCAAUUGAUUAAUUACCUAAAAUUUUUUAUUUAAUUGAUAUAGCUCCUAAAAUUUAAAGAGUAUAAAUUGUUUUGUGACAAUUUUUAUUCUUGACCCCUAAGAACCCUUUUCUUUAUAUUAUCAUUCUUCAGAAAUUGUUCUUAAUUUGAUAGUUUAAGUUUUUAAGCUUUGAUGAACAUAAAAGUAAACUUUUUUCCUUGUACAAUAAAUAAACUAAUUAUGAUGACGAUGUUAAAGGUCAUUUCAAACUUAACUAGUCAACGCUUAAUUAAGUUCUAAUAUUAAUUAAUACGUACUGACUUUUUACAAAAAAAAUUACAUUAAGAAAAUUAUUAUAUAAAAAUAUAUUUACAAAAUACAGUAAAAAUUCAUAUGCUAUCCAUUCGAAAAGAAGCAUCCAAAAUAGUAGUUGCACGUGACUAUUUUGAUCUUUUACUAAUUUUUGUGCUAUAUAAUGUAAUUGUUUUAUCCUUGUGUACAUGCCAUUAUUCUACCCUAAAACUUAUUAUCUUUUUUCUUCAUAAUUCAGCUACAUCUCAAGACAACAAUCUACCAAAAUCAUCACUCCAACUUUUAGUAUUUUAGUUGAUGAGGGAUUGAUUUGAGCUUGAAGAGCUCUAAUUUACAAAGACUGUUUGAUAGAAUAAACAAUAAUCUACAGAAAUGAUCUUCACUUGAUUACAACUUUUCGGCAUCGCCGUGUUGUAAGAUUGAGUGUCUCAAUUUGUGAAGUGCAUAGCUCUGUGGUGCUUCAAAAUCCUGUCCUCUGAUGAAUUCCGUUUGCACUGUGACACUGUUUUGGAGCUAUUUAUGUAUUGGAACGAUAUCCAAUAUUGAUCGAUAUGUUGGUGAUGAACUAAGGUAACAUUUUCUAGUUUAGGUAUUGAGUAGAUUUCUCUGUUUUGCAUCUUGGAUAGGUCUAGAUCGUUCAUUAUUGGAUUCCUGUAUUAAGAUCCAAUUCUUUUUUGAUUUUUGAGUGAUAUUUGAUUAUAUUUUGGCUUAAUUACAAUGUAUGAUCAAGUGCUAAAUUUAGCCUAGGAUAUAGAAUUAUCUUGAAAUGUUUUUAAUAUCAUCUAAUAUUUGAUUACAUAUAGUUGCUUCCUAGCUAAAUCUUAAUACUAUUAGCUAACUAGUUAUGAUGUGUUUUAUUCAAGUAAUAAAUUAGUUAAUUAGCUAAAUAGGACUAACGUAACCUAGCUUCUUUAGGUAAUAUGGCCAAGAUUAAUUGAUACAAGAAUAAUCAAUGGAGUCGUGUGAUCAAGUUGCAAGAUAUGGAAACAACUCAAAAACCUAGGCAAGAGCUUUUAACUAUCCGAAUUCAAUUCCAAUUUAUUUCGUGACAAAUUUACUUUAGUUUGCAACAAUCACUACAAAAUCCUCCAUCACUGGUUAUUGUCCUUGGCUUUAAACUGUUUAAUUGAUUCAGCAAUUCACAUGUUUAAUGUGCUCCACCCGAUCUUGUCACUAUGACUAAGAAUGUAGUGAUGGAUACCGUUGAUUGAUUCAUUUAGUCCAUAUAUGUGUAAUGAGAUUCAAUCGGACUAUUGGAAAUGACUUAUCAAAGCAUAACAAAAUUUACAACUGGUUGAUACAUGAACUGUUUGAAUUGAGCAACAUUUUUUUUUUAAAAAUUAUAUCUCAAUUCGAAUUUUACUUAAAAGUUUUAAAUACACACAAUUAAUUUCAAGCUUAUGCGUUUAUUCAUCACUAUUUUUUUUUUUUCCUUUUUUAAGAAAGCAUUUAUUCAUUACUUAAAAACAUUAAACAACAAACAUAUACAUACCGAUACAUAUCAACUUGAGAAAUCAAGGCCAUUAUUUGAAGUAACAAAAUACGUUUAGUUGGUAUGCCUUUAGCUUGAGGUUCUACAUCAUCAACCACGGCCUCACCAGCCAAUCUAGCAGCAAUGGACGCAACGACCACGGACGCAGCUACAACAACGGUUCCUGCAACCAUGGAGGCAUUGUUGGAGGAAUCUAGCUUGUCCUCUUCCAAAACCAUGGCGGUUGACUUCGUCAUGAAGUUCAUCAGUUUCCAUAAUAGCUUCUUCUACACAAAUAUAUAAUGUUAAAUUACAUUAGAAUCAACAUAUAUAUGAGAAGACACUAAUGAAACGAGUAGAAGUAAUAUAAUAACUACAUUAUUGCAAUAUGUAUCAUCAUCUAAUAAAGGUGUGGAUAUGAAGUAAAACUCACUGAAUUUUACAUCCCUAGCCGUAACCGUGUUUACAUCCUCUGAAGAGAGGAUGACAAUGGAGAACAGAAGACCGAGGAGGAUGAAAGGCUUGGAAUUCAUUAUCUUUGUAAAUUGGAAUAAUAAAAAGUAUUUGAAGAUGAGAUGGAGAUGAGAAUUAGUUUGGAUUUCAAAUGUAUUUAUAGUCUGAUGAUUGAAGAAGGUUAAGGUUGAAAUAAGGAUAUGAAUUGCUAGAGUAGUAAAAGUUUCCUUAUUACUAUAAUUUGUCGUUUUCUCAUAAUUUACAUUUGAAAAUAUGAUCAUAAAACUUUGUUACCAUUGAUGACGUUGCCUCUCGUUCAAAAACACGUAGAAAUUUAAUUCUUUAACGGAUGCCUAUAUAUUAUUUUGAUUUAUUCUUUUAGUACGAGUUAAAGAGCUAAUCAUAAUGAAACGUGAGUUGUUUGAUAAAGUUUCGUAAAGAAUUUGUUCAGUAACUAUUUGUGUUUUCUUAAAUAAAAUAAAAUAAUAAAAAAAUGUUUGCUAACAAUUACUGUUCUUGUGUAAUUAUUCAUUUGUGUUCAAGAGGGCUUUCACUCUAGUCAUUUUCAUGUAUGCUUCUUUUGGUCUAUUUUCUCGAUUAUUAUUUAAUUUUAACAAAAUGGGUAUUACAUGUAAUAGAAAUUUAAAAUUGUGUCAAUUUAGUUGAGAUACUUUAGUGCACUAUAAAAUUACAGUACCUAUCUUUUUAGAUGAACUUAACUCAUCUGACAUUUGAGUAUACUAAUAACCUCGAGAUUUAUGGUUCAAAUAUACUAACAGUCUUUGGCGUAUGCGUUUAUUCAACAAUUAUUACUUAAUUAGACUCGAGUACUGCACUUCAUUAAUACUAAAUGAAGCUUUAGGUAGUACACCCAAUUAAUCUCAAGCCUAUGGAUUUAUUUUCAUUACUUGACUUCUCUCCGUCAAUCCUUACUGUUCAAAGGUUUUUAGAUAAUCAACACAAGUAACUUAGUUAUAUUGGUUUUAAAAUUUAAUGGGUAGUUAUGUUGGAAAGGAAUUUUUGGAGGUAGGAGAAAAUUUGAAAAAGAAAAUUGAUGAAAGAGGGUACUUCUGUUUAUUAGGACACUUUUUAUUUUUUGGCUUCAUGCGAGUGGUAGGACAUCCCUCCUAAUUAUACUAGUUGGCACUUAGCUUGAUACCCCUAAAUGUACGUAUGACUAGAAUUUUGCCAACACGUUCUUAUCUAUUGGUUAAAAUGACUCUAAAUGUAUGUAUGACUAGAAUUUUGCCAACACAGUCUUCAUCUAUUGGUUAAAAUGACUCUAAAUGUACGUAUGACUAGAAUUUUGCCAACACAUUCUUCAUCUAUUGGUUAAAAUGAUUCUAUAGAACAUUCUUUACAAUUAUACUUCUUUAGAUAUUUCUUCAAUCUUCUUUGAAUAUCGAUCUCCUACAAAAUAUUAUUAAUUUCUCUAAAAUAAUGUAGUAAUUAAUACUUUCUAGAAAUUGAACUUUUAUUUGUGCUAGACCCAAAUAUUGUUAAUCCAAAAUCAAGUUCAUAUUUCAACAGGUUCCAAUCACAACAAACACACUUAUAAUUUUUAACUUUUUUAACUUUUGUACGAUUAUAAAAGGAUGGUGGCUGAAUAGAGAGUAAGAUUGAAACAAUGCUAGAAUAUAUCGAGAAUAAUAAUAAUGAAAAAAAGGGAGAGAUUAACACACACAUGAAUUAAGGUAAAAACCAAGGCAAUGAUCAUAUAAGAACUUAACUAGGAGUAACAAAUUUUCUUUUGUCACAUGAGAAAUCGAUGAUGGAAGUCGUACUAGAUAAUGACAUCUUUACUCGCAAAUAUGAAUUGGUACACCCCAUUGUUAUUAAAUAACAAUGGUUCGAAAUUCGAUGUUAGUUUAUGUUUCUAAAAUCGGGUCAGAAAUCUUUAGAUUUCAUCAUGUUAAGUUGGAUAUCCCUAACGCGAUGUCAAGAGUUAUGAUUCGAAAAUUAGGCAUUCGUAAAAUCGGGUCAGGGCUUGACUCAUGGCGUCAGACUUGCAUAGUUUUCCUAUUACAAGUGAUGGUGAAGUCAAGAGAAAGUCAAAGUGUGCCACUCAUGAUACGAAGUGUCAUUGAUGAUACGAAUUGCCAUCGAACUAGGGAUGUUUGACCGCCUGGUCAAGAAUGUCAUUCCGACUUUGAGGUUAACUAUUAAUGAAGAAAAGGAGCUAUGACUUCAGCAGAAGGUUAUAAAACACGAUAAGUUUGCGAGGGGCAGGUUAAAACGGAAGCAUACCUUUGUGAAAGGGCCAUUAUGAUAAUUUUCCCUAAAAAGAGUCGCAUUAUUAUAACUUAUAAUUGUAUAUUUAAGUGAACUUAAAAAAUAGUUCCAUUAUAACUUGUGAUUCAAGAUUUAAGUAAAUUGAAAGAUACAACAAAAUAUGCAAAAAUAACCAAACUUGUUAAAAUCAUAAUUUCCAAUUUCCUAAAUUAAAAAAUGUCUUUUUACUUCUACGUUAUUGUGGAUCUAACGAGUCAAAAGUUAAUUAUGUUAUAAUCUAACCACUCACCUCAAAGUUAGAUAGUAAGAACAUUAAGCUAGUUGAUUAUUUAAGAUGCAACAAUCAUAUAUACUUUUUUAACCUUUGUUAUAAGCUUGGACGUAGUUUCAAUACUCUCUCACAAAACUUAUUAAAGAUUGAUACAUACAUCCUACUAAACAGCUAUAAUCACAUUUGUUCAAUAUUUUUAAGAAAUCUUUUAAAACUAAACAUAUAGUACUGUGAUACUUAGAAAGUCGAUUCAAACACACUAGCCUAUUGUAUUAAUUUAGUUUAUUCUUAAGCUUUUAAUUUUUUUUCUGAAAAAGAUACGAAUUUUACUUGGUCUUCUUAGCCUUUAAAUUUGAACAUUCCAUUAUUUAUGGUUUGAUAAAAAAAAAAAAAAUCAAGCUAUUCAAUAUGCCUUUGCCAAAGAAAAAAAAAGGAAAAAUUUUUUGCCAGAGGGACUAGUGUCCACCAUUACAGUAUAUUUAUUCUGCAUCAAUACAUCAAAUAACUUUGAUCAUCUCUCUCAUUUAGCUCUAUUUCUAGCUAAGAAAAACUCAAUCUGAAAUAUGAGAGAAAAAUGAUCAUAAAUGAAAAUGAAGAUACAAAAAAGUCUUAAAAUUUUUAUUCAAAGAGGUGUGAAGUUAUAUUUAGUCAGAAGGAUUGUGUAAUCGUUCGUGAAAAUUUGAUGUUUUCCUUUAGCAUGAGAUUUUCAAACUUCUUUAGUUAAAUAAAUGGUUCCACUUCUUCGAACUCGCUAUCCUAACUAUAUAUUUUCUUAGGGGUUUACAUUGGUAACUUCAUUAGCAUAGUUGCAACAUUGGAUGCAUCGACCAUCACGAUUGAAACCACAGCAACCAUGUGAGCAACCAUUUCCACCUCCACCUCUACCGUACCCACCGCAUCUAUAGUAAUUUCCGCAGCCAGGGGUGUCCGCGGAGCUGCCGCGGCCGUCACUUAAAAGGUCUCUUGCUGCCACUUUUGGGGACAGGACAAGAACGACUACGAUGGAGAAAACAAGAGUCGUCACAAAAGGAAAAUGCUUGGAGUUGGAAUAAUUCAUUUUAAAAUGUUCUUUUCUUUCUAGUAAUUAACUUGUAAUUUUGGAGAGGGAAUGAGAAGAUUUUGCACCCUUCUCAUUCUAUUUUAUAGGCAGAAAUAAAAGACAAAAUUAGCUCCAAUUCAAAUAUGGCAACUAAAAACGACUAACCCCAUUCAAAUUUCUUUCUCUUUUUUCUUUUAAGUCAACCAUGUGAGAGUGAUGGAUAUUCGUGCAUCCAAAGGACAUAUAUGUAUUGGAGCUAAACCAUUGCUUAAAUUGACAUUUAAAUGAAAAAUAGAAUGAAUUGAAAAAAAAAUCCUUUUAGUGCUUCAAAUUAAAAUUAAAUACAAAUAAUAUUUAAGUGCAUUUGUAUCAUUGUUGAACUUUUUUUGUAUCCAACUCCAACCAGUACACUUCAUUUAGAAGGAAAAAAGAAAACAGGUUUGCCAAACUAUACAUAUGCACACAUAGUACAUAUAGUUACAUAUUUUCACAUACUCCUUUUUCUUUAAAAAGAAAUUUCUAAAUAACUUUUCCUCGAAGUGGGUUGGGCGAAACUAUUAAUAUUGUUAUGAUUUAUGUCAUUUCGUAGGGGUAGCUUUCAAUUCUUCUAUUAAAUGCUCUUUUGUCUGCCAAGUUCACUUAACAAAUCAAAUAAUACAAAAUGAACAUACAUUAUUGAUAGGUGAAUUCAAGGUAUGCUCUUCUUUUCGCAACUCCAUAAUAAGAAUAAAGAAUAAUUUUUAUAAAAGAGAAGAAUUUACCAUUGAAUAAUUGAGUGGAAAGAAGAAUAUAAGUGUAACUUAAAGAUGCAUUUAGUUAAUAUGGAAAAAAUUGAACUCGUUGCAGCUUAAUUUGAAUUUCUAUUAUCAAAGUACUGCAUCCCUCUAUGAACACAUUUGUCGUUCAAAGCAAAAGGCUAAGAAGAAGAUUAUCAUCUUUAAUUCGGUGCUGUCUCCCUUCUACCAUUUGGAACGAAAGAAAUAACAGAAUUUCCAACGAUAAAGAAAAAUUCAUUUAUAAAGUUUAGAAAGAUAUUUAGGCUUUAACCGGUCUCUAGACUCGCAAAUUCCCCGGUUCAUCAACUAUGGUGCCAACACUAUAUUUGUUCCUUUUGGGUUGUUAGGGGCUUCUCUCUAGCCCUUUUUAUUUUUUCUGCUUAAUUCUUGUAGUUAUUUUUUAUCAUUAAUGAAGCAGAAAUAAUGAUGGUACUAAAGGGUGUUGAUCUAGUAGAGAUGCUCAAGUGAUCCAAAAUCGUAUUCUUAAAAAAAAAAAGAAGAUGGAUUUAAGUAUUAUUAUAAAACAGUUUAAAAGCAAAUAUAAUUAAAAAUAAAAAAUAACCAUAUAAUUCUCUUCUUUCCAAACUCUUUCUAUUAUAACCUCAAGUAUAAUGUUCAACUUGCCACGAAAAAGUUCUCUCGUAUAAGCCUACUGUAAACUUGUAGUCUAGGAUAUUUAAUAGUGUAAGAUUUCAUCUUAAAACCAAUUGAGAAUGAGAUGAGUAACUAUCUGUUUUAUAAUGAGUAUAAAUACAAAUCUUUAGUUUUUUCAACCCGGGAUUCUUAAUCGUUGAUCGGAUUUCAAUUUCAUUUUAUUGGAUCAAAUACAUGUUUGGACUCUUUAUAUGGAUCAUGACACCAUAUUCAAUCGACAACAAAAAGACUAACUCGUCUAUCUUAUAAGUAUGGUUAGUCUCAUGGUUUUUUCGAUGUACGUUUCUCAAUAUUUGAACAUAAGAUAAGAAAAAACCUGAUACUUUUUUUUGGAGAAAGCUACCAUAGGUAGCGAAGAAUAUGCCUGGAAUGGCUAGUUUGUAAUCUCUGUUAAAUAAAAUGUAAAUUUUAACUGAAUGGUAUGAGCUUUAAAUACCAUAUCAGAAUCAUUUCACUUUAUAACUAGGUGUUGCUUUUGUAAAGAAAAACUCAUGAAAUCUUCGAGAAUAGUCACUUUUCUAUAGAUGUGGACGAUUUUGUUGAACCAUGUAGAUCACUGCAUUCACCUUCCUCUUCUCUUUGCAUUUGUUUGCUUUUAUUUGUGAGAUUUUGAACCUAGCAAAACAGAUCGCCGUUGAAGAGUUUAAAUAUAGGUUGAAGAAAAAGAAAGUUUAUAAAGAAUUUUGUUUCUGUGUGUUGGAAAAAGAGAAUAUAAUAGCAAAAAUGAUUUUGUGUCAAAACUAAACAAUUUUGCUUCAUUAUUUCUCACUUACAUGGUUGUCAUUCAGCAUUAAAACAUAGAAGCUUUCGCAUCAUUCAUUUCACCAACCUAAUUAGUAGCAUUUUGGGCUUCAUUCCUUAACUUUCUUCUUUGUUUUGGGCCUGUAAAAGAAAAUAACCCAACAAAAGUGUGGUGUACGAGCAUUAAAGAUUUAUCAAGAAAGCCCUUUUUUCAGAGCUUCAAGAUUCUGAAUUUCGAGUAACAAUGGCAGUAGCAAGGUAUGAGAUAGAGAAUUUUUAUAGAAAUGGUGAUUUUGGUUUGUGGAAAGUCAAAAUCAAAGCCAUUCUAGGCCAACAGAAGGCUCACAAGGCCCUUUUGGAUCCAUCAACCUUACCAAAUAUAGUCACAACACAAGAAAAUGAAGAUUAGGAAUGGUAGCUAUAGAACCUUGGUUUUGAAUUUCAAAAACAAGUUAUUGACCAAGACACUGCCUACAAGAUGUGCCGCUAAGCUGGAAGGAUUUUUUUGCCACCAAAGAUCUCCAAAACAAAAUGUUCUUGAGAGAAAUUCUUUACAUUCUAGAUGGACUCUUGGAAGAGCUAGCCUCACUAACAACCUAGAAUAUGAAUUUAGAAAAUAGUUUAUGAUUUCAAGGAUCUUGGAGAAAAGGUAGGUGAUGAGAAUGAGGCCUAUGUCCCUUUGAGUUCACUAACAUAAACUAGAGAAGUGAAAAAAGCUUUGAAGUGUGGCAGUGGUAUCGUACAGUCUCUAAUGUAUAAUCCUCCGAUGCUUUCUCUUAGUUUCUAACUUUGACUUGAGGGCUGAUGAGCGCGCUUAUUUUGAAACCAAAAGAGUCUAGGUCUUUAAUUUGUAGAUGGGGAAGAGAUGAUCAAUUUGAGAAGAGACAAUUUGUUUGUUUGUUGGAGAAGAGUUGGUCUAUCCAUUGAGAGAUGCCUAGUUCGUUGAAGAAGAUCACUUUGUUGAAUUCUGAAUUCUCUUAUCUAUAGAUCUAUGUGUGAAGGUCCCAAAUGAAGGUAGUCUCUUUUAUUUAUACAGAGUUUUGGGAGGACUAUAUUUUGAUUGUUUUGUGUUUAUUUCAUAAAUAGAGCUCCUUUACUUCACCAUCUUCUUAUUCGAACACUUGUCAUAUUUGUUGGGAUUCUCUCAUUCUGAUGUUUCUUUCCUCCUUUACUCAUGCAGAAAUUUGUAAGAAAUUGAGAGUUUGGAUAGGUUCCAUCCUAAAAAUAUUGGAAGCUUAGCUUAUAAGAGCUAGUGGAGUUUUUAAUUACUAAAGCAACAACAAAUUGAGCGGGUGUAAUCAACUUACGAGUUUAGACUUCAUGUAAUCAAUUAAUAGGUGGAAUUUCACGUGUAAUAUCUUCAUAUAAGAAGUGUGUGAAUUUAGACUUAAGCCACAACCUUCUAAUUAGCGAAAUGCCAUUGAUUUUCAUUUAAAUUUUUGCUCUACCGUUUCUUUGAUUUAUCGUUAAAAUGAAUUUAUCGACAUCAAAUUCCAUUGUUUGUUCAUAUAAAUAUUUCUAUAGUCAAUUACACGAAACAUUACCUAGCGGUGGGAGCGUUUUUAUGGAAAGAAAAAAAAACAAAAACACCACCGAUAGAAAUUUAUAAAUUCUCUUGAAAAAUAAAUUUAACUUUUCUUUUAAAUCUAUAAUUUAGUGAUAAAAUUUAACAUUGAUAGACCGUAAGCUACACAAAAUAUUCAACAAUGAAACAAUCUUUCUUAUUAACAAGUACACUAUAAAAUAACAAAAUGAUAUACAUAUUAUUCUAAUUACUUUCCAUAUCAAAUUCAACUUUUUUCAAGUCUAUCAGUGAUAAAAACUUAUCAUCAAUGGACUCUAAUAAAAAAAAAAAAAAAAAAAAACAAUGGAACUACACAUUUCUUACUUCAACUUUCUUCCAAUCUACCAAUGAAAGAGACCGAAACAUAUCACAUAUAGACAAUCAAAUACACAACAAAAACAUAAUUGAAACUAUAUAUUGUCUUAUUUUUCAUUAAAAAUUCUUUAAGUCUAACACUAAUCGAAACUCAUGAUCGAUAAAUUAUAAAGAACAGAAAAAAAACAAAAACAAAACAAAAGAAAAAGAAACUAUGCGUUCUCUAACUUUUUAUGAAAAUAUAUUCAACUUUCUUCUGCUCUAUCUACUCUAUCACUGAUAGAAACAUAUAAUCGAUAAACAAUACUUAUCAACAAUCUCAAAAAACAACAUUUUAACUAUGUAUUGUCUUACUUUUCAUGAAGAUAAAUUCAAUUUUCUUCAUGUCUCCUGGUGAUAGAAACAUAUAAUUCGUAGACUCGAAACAAAAAAAACAAUAAAACUACAUUUUCUCACUUUUCAUGAAAAUAUAUUUAGUUUUUAAAAAUUUAUUGCUCAUGAACACUAAUCAACAACAUCAAAAAAAGCAGCAUAAAAAACUGUAUAUUUUACUUUUCGUGAUAAUGAAUUCAACAUUCUUCAAGUUUAUUGUGAUACGAACCUACUCGAUAGACUUUAGUUGAACAAGUUAACAAAAAAAAAAAAAAAAAAACACACACACACACAUGAAACUAUACAACACUUCUCAUGAUAAAUAUUAAAUUUUUUUCUAACAUUGAUAGACCCUUAUAGAAAAAACAGCAAAGAAACUAUAAAUUUUUUCUUACUUUUUAUGAAAAUAAAUUCAACUUUUAUUAUUAGGGAUAGAAACCUAUCUAGAUUCUAAUGAACAAAAAAACAAUACAAUGGCAAUCACUUUAAAUAUAUUUUUUUAAUGAUGACAUGGUUUUAUAAUUGAUGAAAGUUUAUCGAUAAUAAAAAUUUAUCAUUUAUAGAAGCAUUAACGAUCCAUUUCUACGAAUUAUUCAAAACUAAAAAAAAAAUUGUGAAACAUGGUAAUAUGUUUUCAAGGAUAUGCGUAUUUUCAUCGUCAAUAGAAGUUUUAUCGAUGAUAACAGUGUAUCAUUGAUAUAGUUUGGAACUAUUAUUAAUCAAUUUUUUUUUAUCAUUUAUUGAAAAUAAAGAAAAUCAUGAACCACACCAAUAUAUUUUCAAUGAUAUGCUUUUAUUGUUGAUAACUUUUAUCGUUUAUAAAAGUAUAUCAUUGAUAGUGUGCUAUCACUAAUAAAUUUGGGAUACAAAAAUAUUUGUGAUACAGGUAUAGCAACAAAAAUUUGCUAUCAUCCAUAAAUCGAUAUUGUUUUUUUUAUAAAAUCAUAUUUAUGAUACAAAAGCAUUGAUGAUAAUAAUAUGGUAUUAAUGAGAUAGAUUUCUAUAAAAUGAGUCUAUUAUCAAUAAUAAAUUGUUAUCAUGUCUAUAAAUGAUAGACUUUAAAAAGUGAAAAUUUUGUGGCUUCAAUGAGGAUUAAAGAAAUUUUUUGUUAUAUUUACAAUUAGUUUUUUUGAAAAAAGAGUCUAUCAAUGAUAAAAUUUUUAAAGCAAUUUAUAUCAAUGAUAAACUUCUAUAAGUGAGAAUUUCGUGCCUCAAGCAUAUUUUGAUGUCUUUAAUAGACUUUUUUUUUUUUUUUUGCACAUUUACAUGGGUUGAAGGUAAAUUUUGUUAUAUUUACCAUUAGUUUUAAGUUUUGCUAUUUUCUUAAUAAUAAUUUUAACCUUGUUUUGGUGCAUAUGCCAGAACCCCUUAAAUUAAUCUAUUUUUAAAAUAGAUUUUUAUUUAAGUUUGAUCCAAUUUAUUUUUUAAAAUAUAGAAUGACCAUUGCAUUUUUUUAUUGGCCAAUUUCCAUGUCUUUAAUUAAUAUUAAUUUGAGUUCAUCUAAAAUUUUAAUAAGUCUCAAAUUAAUAGGGUGAGAAUUUGUGAUUAAUUGAAAAUUUCUUAGACGACAAAAAAAAAAAAGAUUGGCCAUUUAUUUUAAGUAUAUAAAUGGCGAUGCAAAUUAAUAUAUACACGUUCAAUAAAAAAUAUAAAGAGAGGAAUUUUCAAAAAUAACAAAUUUUACAAAAUAUUUACAACUUAUAGUAAAUUCUAUAACUAAUAGUCAUUGAUAUGCUAUUGUGAUAGAAGACUAUCGUUGAUAUAAUUCAAAAUUUUGUUUUAACUUGUUAAUAUUUUAAUUUAUUUUUAUAUUUUUAGAAAUGCUCCAAAUAUAAAAAGAGAACUAUGUAAAGAAAUGUCACAAAGUUAGAAAUUAUCUUUUAGGAUGCCUCCAAAAUUUUAAGGAUGCUCUUCGUCCGUGCAUUAUAGAAUGUUCGAAAAUCUGUAGUUGUUGCAUUUUUAUUGGAAAAAAUGUAAAGAAGUAUUAAAUUUUUUUAAAAAAAUUGCAUUUGGUUUUGAGUUAAAAAAGAAGAGGAAAUAAGUAUUAAAUUUAAAAAAUGGUUGGUGUUGAAAUAAGUAUUAAAAUAAAUAAAAUAUUAUAUAUAUAAAAAAUAAGAAAAUUUGUCGAUAAUAGAAAAUUUGACAAAAUAUUUACAUUUUUUUAUGGAAAAUAAGGCUUAAUAAAUUUUAGAAUUUUUUUUAGUGAUUUUUUCUUUGGAGUAACUAGUUUGUUUUUAGUUCUAUUUGUAAAAUAACUCUAUAAAAUAAUAUAAAUAAAAAUUAAGAAAAUAAAACAUAAAAAAUCUCACAAACUCCCCAUUCUUCUAUUUAUUUGAAAAAAAUUUCAACUUGUAUCUUACUAAACUCAAUAAAUAUCACUACUUAUAGACAAUUUGACAAACUCGAUUAUAUUGACUACUACGAGUUUGAUAUCUUCAAUACAUAUAAUAAAAAAAUUGUGAAAUAACACAUGGCACAAUAGGACACCAACCAGAAUGAUAAUUGAUAAUGGAAAACAUUUUUUGUUGUCAGAGACACAAAAUCAAAUAUUUCCACUCAAUCAUAUUUUACUAAAUUGUUUUAGAACUAAUAUUUAAAUAAACAUUUUGGAAAUGUGAAAUAUUCAUUUAAUUUUUAUUUAAAAAGCCAGAUUUUGUUUUUGCUUUUCGAAUACAACUAAGAAUUGAACGAUCGUAUUUAAAAAAAUAUGCAAAUUAUUGAAAGUUAAAAAAAACACAAUAACAAAAAAAACAUAUAACAGAUGUACCAAACCGAAACUCUAAUUUUUUAAACAUUAAACAUUAAAAAUCAAAUAGUUAUUAAACGAUACACAAACAUUUAUUUUUAAUAGUACAAAUUAUAAAGGUACAGUGCAUGUGGAAGUGUGUUGUUUUAAUCGUUGAAUUUUCCAAUACCAUAAAAGAGAAACGCAAUGACACUGGCUGAGUUUUAGUCGUUUCCAAUAAAUAUUACUUUCUUGAAAUCUAUUUUUAUCAUUAAAUUUAAAAUUUAUCAAUGUUACAAUACGUGAAAUCCUAUAGGCUUCUCUAAGUAUUCAACGACCAACGAAAAGCUUACACUCACGAGCACGUGACAUUCUACUUUUAACCUUAAGAGAAUAAACAUACCCAACUAAUUACGACUAAGUUAAAUUUAUUUGACAAGAUACAUAUAAUUCGAACCUUGCUACUAAAAGUAUUAACAAGUUUUUUUUUCAAUAUUGCGCGAAUAAAAAUUUGAACAUGUUUAAACAAUAUAUGUAAAUAAUGUUUUAACCUAUUGAACCAUGCUCAAAUGAAAAGGAAGUAUGAGGUUACAACAAAUUUGACCAACUUUUCGUAUAGCAACAAUAUUAAAGACUUGAUUAUAUCAACUUUUCUAAUGUUUAUAAAAACUUUUUUUUACAUCUCUAAAGAACUUUUUCUUUCAAAUGUGGGGUUAGGGCAAUAUAUUUUUAUAAUGUCGUUUGGUGUGGGUGUAGCUUUCAGUCCUUCUAUCAAAUUGGUUUCUUUGUACGCCAACUUUGACUUAACAAGUCAAGAAUAAAACGAAUUUCAAAAGAAAAAAGGACCAAAUUCCACUUUAAUUAAUUACCUCUAUUCCAACAUAUCAUGUAGAAAUUUUCAUACCAUGAAAAAGAUGUAUUAUAAACUUUGGAAGGGGUUAAGAUUUUAAGAAUCCUAUUUUGUGCAGUUUUGUAUUUGGUUUUUUGUACACCUAAUAUAUGCUCUGUAUUUAUUAUAUUAUCUCAUAAGCUUGGUAUGCGUGAGAGUUAGAGGUCCAAGAAUACAUGUGUAACCCUAAAACUAAUUUUUAGUUAAAAGAAACAAAUUAAUCUAUAUAAUUGACAUUAAAAAGUUUAUUAGUGAUAGAUUUUGGUUUUAAGAAUUAUUGAUAGAAAUUUCUGUUUGACUAACUUCAUCCUUUCCUCCCUCAUUUCAAAUCUCUUUUAUUCUCAAUUUUGAUCACUGACUUUUCUUUUCCUUUCGUAACUUGCUUGUAAGUAGAUUUUUAAAAGUUUUCGUCACCUAAAAUAAUAAAAUAGAGAAAAGCAAAUCAAUGUUUAAAAUUUGAGUGAAAUUAAAGGCUAUGACCUUUCAAAGUUUAAACAUAUAUACAAAAUAGUUUUCAUGUUAUAUUAUAAGUAAAAGUCUUAAAACUUUGUUUAAUAUAUAUAAUUAGUUAACAUGUUAGCUUCAUGAAAAACGUAUAAAAAAUGAAGGAUCAUGAAAUAUUUGGUACAACAAGUCUUGCAUGUAACGAAGAUAAUAUUAUUAUUUGCAAUUGCAUGAAGUUUCACGCAAACUAAGAAAAAAGAAGAACGAAGAAACAAACUCUUGCAUGUCUUUUAGUUUUCUUUUUCUAUUUCCUUGUUUUUGAUUUUUCCUAUACCACAAAGAAGAGAAGUGGAUUUAUUAGAUACUUUAGAAUAUCUCAACUCAAAUACAUCUAGUAGUGAUGCAUUCAUUCAAUAAAAAAUAGCUUUGCACGAAACAAAAAGAGGAAUCUAUAAAGCAAAAUAAUUGAAUCUUGUGCUAAAUGUCACCAUGUGUCCGAGACGAUGCAGAGUGACCAACGUUUUCAAAUUAAAUCGUUAGUUUUAAAUCAAAUCUUGGACUACAAAAAAUGUGUUCUCUCCUCAAGAAUUUUAGAAAAUCGGAUUUUCAAAUUUUCUAGAUUCUGUCUUAGAAUUUUGUUAAAGGAAAAUGAUAUAUAAGUUAAUAUAAAAGAUAGGAAACCUUAUGAAAUGAUUGAUUAAAAUUUGAAUGUUUGAAAAGCAUAAAAAAUAUAUAUAUAACAUUAUAGACAAAUUUUCUAAAUUAUUAAAAAGGAGUUUUUAUUUUAAAACAUAGAGAACUUUAAAUUGGUAGGAUUUUAAAACAUUGAAAAUAUUAAUUAAGAAAUAGUUGAAAUUUUUAUAUAAGAAAAAAUAUGAGGCUUAAUAGAAAAAUUAAAUAAGUAAAAAUAAGGAUAAAUAAGCAUCAUAGAAAAUUAUGCAAAUAUAAAAUAACAUAUUGAGAUUUUAAUAAAAACAUAUGAGUGAUCGAUCUAGAACUUUAAAAGAAUCAAUUCCUUCACCUCAAUAAUUCUAGAAAAUCGAACUCUUAAAUUUUUUAUAUUUCGUUUUCGAAAAUAAAUAUGCUCGAAACAAAAAAUUGUAAAACAUAUAACUUAACGAACUUUUAAAUGUCUCAAGAGAAAUUUAACAUGUAAAUAAAUAUUAAAUUGAACAUGAAAGUAGCCAUUAAUGAAAAAUAUUAUGUAAACAACCAAUAUCAUUUAAAGAAGCAUAACCAUACAUUAAUAAACAUUAAAAAAACACAUUAACAUUCUAUAGAAAAAUGAUUGGAAAUCGAACUUCUAAAGAAUCGACUUCUCACCUUAAAAAUUCUAAAAAAUUGAUCUUCCAAAUUUUGGAGAUUAAGAAAAUUAAAUGUUAACAAAUUUAAACAAUUAUUAGCAAUAACAUAUUAAAUUGACCACAAAACAAGAGUGUAAAAUAUAUUAAAUAACAUAUAAAAGAAGAUAAUAUUAAUUAAAGAAGCAAUAAUCAAUGCCAUAAGAAGAAAAAAAUAAUUAAAUAAAUAAAAGUGCUAAUUACAAAAAAAGUAAUGAUACAAUAUAUAGAAAAUAAAGCUUAAGAAUAAAUUAAAAAAAUAAAAAAGAGAUAAACAACGAGAUAGGAAGAAAUAUGUUAUAAUAUAUAUAUAAGAGAAGUUCAAAAGAUAAUAAAUAAAUAAUUAUAAGAGAAAGAAAAGUAGAUAAAUAAGAACAAGAAAAAUAGAUAAAUAUUUAAUCAUUUAGUUUUUGUUUUGCAUUUCUUUAAAUGGAAGCUUGAAGAAAAAUAAAUAAAGUAAUGAGAAUAGUAAGAAUAAUAAAGAAUAAAGAAUAAAGAACUUUGAAGAAAAAUAAACAAAAUAAUAAGAUGAAGAAAAAGAAAAGAAAAGAAAGAAAGGUUGAAAUCCUAACUCACGUUUUAAACUGUGGAUCAUUUCCACCAAAACUCUACCAUAUACCUACAUUUAAAUUAGAGUUAUAUUUUUAGAAAAUUGUAUCAGAUGACAAGAAAAAAUUAAAAAAAUACAUUCUACAGUACCCUACAUUUAACUAAAAAAUAUUUUAAUUUAUUUUUUGUGUUGCAUCUCCCAUGAUCAAAAAAGAAAGAAUUAUCAAUGGCAAAAAAAAAGCUUCUUCAAAUGGCUAGUUUUUUUUAAUUUGAAAAUAAUACUAAUUUUGACCUACAUCUCAAAAUGGCAUGGAGCCUCUAAUAAACAAAACAAAAUUAAAAAGAUACUAUAUUUAGUAUUUUUCCACCUACUUAAUUAGACUAACUAAUUGAUUUAGUUACUCCAACUAAACAAUUAGUUAAAUAAAUUUAUUUUUUACAAAGUUGGUUAAUCACAAAAUUAAAAAUUUUAGCCAAUUUAAAGCAAACAUUAAUCUAGCAAUUCAUCCAACAAAAUUAGGUGACUGAAAUAAUUUUGGUACCCCAUACUCCAUAGAGCUGACAAGAGAGAGUAGUGCUCCUGAUUUCAUUGCUUCUUUUUAUAUUAGAUAGUAGUACAUUGUUCUAUUUUUAAAAAUUAUUUACAACAUAUACCAAAUUCUAUCACUCAUAGUCAUUCAUAUGAUAUAGUGAUAAAAAAAUAUGAUUGGUAGAAUCUUUCGUAAUAUUUUAAUUUAUUUUGUAAUUUUUAAAAAUAUCUCUAUUUAAAUAAUAUUUUGUUUCUUACGUGUUUGAGUUUUCUUUUCCCUUUGUUUUUGGCUUCCUCUCUCUCUUUUCUCAUAUUAAAGUAAUGCUCUUGAUUUGUGUGAGAUUGUUUUUCUCUUCCUUUAUUAUUUUGUUUUUUAUUGUGGGGUUAUUUUCUACUUCUUUCUUUUAACAUUUGGUUUUAAGUCCUAUGGUUGAACUUUGGCAAAUUGGAAAUGGUAGCCUCCAAGCACCGUAAAAAAAACAUUAGAUAUUGCUCUUGCUUUUAAAGCAUUAUAUUUCAAGUAACAACACUUACGAUUUAGACGUGGGUAACAUAAAAGUUUUGAGAGAUUAUUCUUUUGUAAUUGGGUCAGGGAGAGAACUGCUUUAUGUGAUUGUUUAAAUUUAUCUCAAUAGAGACUUCAAAUUCCCCAAAUUUAUUAUAUAAGUGAAACGUAAUAAUUAAUUAAUUAGACACGGCAUUGGAUAGUUUAUAUAAAUAAUUAAUAAUAAAGCAGCCACAUUUCUUUGAUCAGAACCAUAUUAUACGUUGUUCAUUGUAAUACGAUUAACAUAUAUAAUAAUUAAUCUCACGAGCAUAUAUGCAUUUAUUCAUAACUUACAAACACCAACUUCAGAAAAUAAAGCCAUUUUAUUUAAUGUUACACAAUAACAUGUGCUUAAUUGUUAGGCUUAGCUUGAGGCUUUCCAUCAACAAUACCAGCCUCACCAGCAAAGCUGCAGCACCUGAUGCAACGGCCGCGAAAGCAUUCGCAACAACCUCGGUUGCAACCGUGGAGGCAUUCCGCAAGGUUCCGAGAAUGAGCUCCUCCAUAACUGUGGCGCUCCACAUUGUCAACUUCACCAGUUUCCAUCGUAGCUUCUUCUGCAAAGUAAAUCAUUGAUAUAAUCAUUAUAUACUACCACAAAUUUGACCUUUAUUGAUAACUAAAAAUAUUAUCAAUGAAGCAGUGUCAACAAAACUUUUGACAUCAACAAAAAUAAUUUUGUUAUCGGCAAAAAUCAACGUCAAAUACAAAUAGUUUCUGUUGAUGUUUAUUGUCCAUCAACUAAUUAAAAAACCUACAUUGAUUUUAAGCUGUAAUUAAAAAUUUCAUUGGCGGUUUGUUUGUCAUAAACCUCAACUAAAUAAAAAAAUUAUUUGUCAUAAGCCCAAGCUGUGGUAUAGUACAUAACACUAAUUGAAGGAAUUAAAAGUAGCGAGUAUACAUCGCAUUGCAGGUUUAAAAAAUGAAACUCACUCAAUUUCGCAUCCCUUGCUGUAACAGUUAUCGCCUCCGAGGAAAAGAGGACGACGGCAAAAAGAAGACCGAGCAAGAUGAAGGACUUGGAACUCAUUCUCUCUCUAUUGAUUAGAGAUAUGAUCAAUUUAAUUUGGAGGUGAUGGGGUGAGAAAGUAUUGUAGGAUUGCAAUUGUAUUUAUAGUAGUGAUGACAUAAAAUUCAUGUCAAGGUGGGACAUCCUUAGUCCCAAUUUUCAAAGGUAGAUAAGUUUUUGUGGAAUAAUUAUAAUGAGCUUAUCUUUAUAAGAAAAGUAGAACAAAGGUUUCUUACCGUGGAGUCUGUUCAAUGGACAGGCACGUCAAAGUAAUAGACUCAGAUUAGAUAAUGUUAAAAAUGUUAAUUGUACAAUUUAACAUUGUUGGGUUCCAUCAACUUUAGUUAUUUCUUUAGGUUAUACAUUCGUAGAAAUCUUUUUGUAUUAAAAUAACAUCAUUUAAUCACAGUUUGGAGGGGCUAAAAAAUAAGUAUAUCAACGGUAGACUCCUGUUCACUAAUAUAUGUACCUGAUCUAUAUUCUCAAGUGUCUAAUAUAUGUACCUGAUCUAUAUUCUCAAGUGUUUUUUAUAUAUAUAUCUAGUUUUUGUAAAUAUUUUUGUUUAUUUUGUUAUAUAUUUGAAAAUGUUAAGCGGAUUUCUUCACCUAUUUUUAGAUAAAAGAAUUUAUUGAAUCACACGCCAAGAUCUAGUCUUAAAACAAUUUAGUUAAAAAUUUCUGAAAUAAAUAAAUAAACGAACGAAAAUAAGAAGUUAAAAGAAAGUUAGGAAAUGAACAACCAAGUAAUAUAAACAUAUAGCGAUCAGGACAGAGAAUAUUUAUUCUAAUAUUACAAAACGGUGUCAUUAGGUUCGAAAGAUGUGUUUUUCAAUCUAAAACAAAAUGGUUAGAAAUUUCAAGUCUUCUUUCUGUGUUAAGGGCAAAUUAAAGAGAAAAAUAAUCUUUGAUCAUAUUAACAAAUAAUUGAAAGAAUAAUGUAUAGUACAUAUGCAUGAUCCAUUAUGUUGCAUGCAUUUCUUAAAUGAAUAAAUAGAAUUUUGAAAUGUAAAAAAAUGAUGAGAGAUCAGACAAAGAUAUAUCCAACUCUUCAAAAAAUGGUUUUGUUUUUGGAACUUCUGUUCUAUAGUUGGGAAAAAGAUCAGUCCGUGGAUGGAGAAUUAACAGGAGCAGCUUCAACACACGCACGAGGAUUUUGCUUUCCAGUAAUGAUGGGAAUCACAUUUCUACACUGAGACGUAAUCCGUCCUUGAGUUCCGAUGUAAGCGAGGUCAAUAUCUGUAACUUCCACACCUUCACACGAAAAGACUGUGCUACAAAUAAAUUUAACAGCAACGAAAGUAGCAGAAGUGCCUCUGAUAUUCUUGAAACUAACGUUGUUGAUCUUAAUUUUUGAUGGAAUCUGAACAAAUGUAUACAUAAAGAAAACCAAAAAUUAAAUCAGGUUAGUUUUGCAUUUGUUAUAUAUAAGAAAAAAUAUUCCUUAAUUGAAGUUAAUUAAUUAAUUAGUUGAAAUUUAUGAAUAAGGAAUAAUUUCAAUACAUAUACCUUUUUGUUGCAUUGAUUAGAUGGACAAUAUUCUUGGUCAAUAAUCACAGGAUUGCUAACAUUAACCAUUUCAAUAUCUUCAAAAUGCAAGUCAGAGGCUGUGUAUGCAACUGCACAAUCUGGCCAUGUCUUGAUUCUAACACCAUUUGAAGUAUUGAUAAGUUUACAUGAUUUCACUGUAACUCCUGCCACCUCUUUCUCCUUGGUGUACUUGCCUAAACUUCCUAUACUUAUGCCAUGACCUGGUCCGCAAGUUACAUUAGUAAUAGUUAUUUGCUUGUUGCUGUCUCCAACAGAUAUACAAUCAUCUCCGGUUGAGAUACGUGUAUUGAAAAUGUUAAUCACUUCUGAACUGCUCACAUGAAUUCCAUCGGUGUUGGGACUAUUCUCUGGUGCAAUAAUUGUCACAUUUUGAAAAGUAACAUUCUUGCAACCCAAAAGAUUGAAGUGAAAAUUCUUACUAUCCAACGAAGUUAUGUCCUUCACCAUUGAAUUGGUUACGAAACUGAACUUCACAUUCUUACAAAUUUAACCCCGGCCCGCCCCACAAAAAGAAAAGGUAUCCGAGUUAAAAACAAUGCAUUAUGUUAAUCGACAAAAUUAUAUAAUCAACGAGAUUAAAAAGAAAGAAGCUAAUACAAUUAGAGAAUUAAUUUACCAUAGGAAGUUUAGUGCAUAUUUUCUUCAGGUGACAAUCAUUCUUUUCCCAACCUUUUUCUCCUUGACCAUCAAAAGCACCUGUGCCUGACAAUGUCAAUUGAUCGAUAUAUUGAAAAAGAACCAACCCAUCUCCUAUUGGAUCUGGAUGAGCUUGUAAUGUUCCUUCCAUCCGAACCUCAAUAGUACUUUUGCAAGGACCAUGGAGAAUGGAUUGGUUUAGAUGGUAAACUCCCAUUGGAAUCAACAAUUUACUAGAAUAGGUCGAUGCACAUGCAUCCUUCCAUGCAUUUGCCAAAGCCUAUAAAUUGUGAAUCAUUUGAUUAAACAAAAAAAAAAAUACAUAAAGUACGAAAUUUAUCAAGUUAAUAUAUAUUUACCUGAGUAAUAUCAGUAUUAGGUUUGGCACCAUAUGUAGUGAUAUCAAAAAUGGAUUGACCUUUUGCAGUUGAUGCCAACAUUAACAACAAAUGUAAUAGUAAUGUCAUAAUGUUUGACCUCAAUCCCAUCAUUUUUAUUUAUUGCCUUCUGCUUUUUGCUUAUGAUCUUCUCUUUAUUCUAAUUGUUAAUUAACUAUGAAAAUGGAAUGAAUGAUUCAAAUAUAUGUGCAGUCAUUCAACCCUUCUUUAUACUUUCCAAAAAAAUUUGGUUGCUAAAUUUGAAAAUGAUCGUUGAAAUAUUGAAGUUAAACCAUUAGCUGUGUGUCAUAAAAUUAGCCAUUUCAUGACAAUUGGAAUUUAUUAAUCAUUCCCUCAAUUCAAUCAAAUUUCUGUUCGAGAACAACUCAAAAAAGGAAGAAUUGAGAAUUUUGGUGAAAAAAGUAUUAGAAAUUUUCACUUUAUUUUUCUCAUUCAUAACUCCUAAUAAGUAGAUAGGUCCACAUGUUUCAUGUUACGUAGAUAUAUUUAUUUCAAUGCUUAUUAAAUUUUGAUGGUGAAAUUCAAACUUUUAAUUAAAUUAAUCAUUCAGUUAUAUUUAUUUACUAUAAAUUGAGUGCGAGGAUUUGAACUAAGUUUUCUUAGUUCUCAAAUAUUUAUGAGUGUUAAUAUUCAUAAGUGUGGAUUGAGGUAAGCAUAUGCUAAAUGAAGUUUAAAAUAUUACUUUUCUGUACAUGUGGUAAUAAAAUAAUAAUAAAAUAUCACCAAAAGUAAAUAAAUAUCUAAUCGAGAUCGAUAUAUUAUUGAUACUUUUAUUGACAUACUCAUAAGAUUGAGAAAUACCAGCAUCUUCAUUUACAUUGACAUCUAUGUGACUAGUCAAUUUUAACAAGAACUUUUAAAAUAUAAACAAAAUUAUAUCAUAAAACUAAAUGAAAAAAUUUUGUUUUAAAUGACAAAAUGGUUAAAUAUAUAAUAUUUAUAAAUAUAGCAAAAUUUUACUUUUAAUUUAUGAUAAGUAGAUGUAAACGUAGAUGGUAGACAUCUCUCUAUUGCUGUAGUCUCUAUUGCAUUUCUAUUAAAGUUAUGGAAAUAAAACCGUAAUUACACUAAAUCAAAAUAUGAUGGUAGAUAUUAUAAAAAUCUGAUAAAAAGCAGAUCUUUGCAAUAACAUACUAAAACCCAAACAUGGGGAAAAGAAAAACUACAGAAGCCACUCCUUCCAUUCCCCAUGAAUUUAUUUCUCAAACUUCCACACUUCACACAUUUCAUCAAACACAAACUUUUUACUUUUUUUAUUAUUUCAUCCCAUAUUCCACACCUUGUCUUAUGGUUUUGCACCCUCUACUACUUCACCAGCGUACCUGCAGCACCUGUACACGCAUGGACCAUAUGUGCAACCUCUGCCGUAGCCACCACUAUAGCCACCAAGACCGAAGUCAUCACGACCAUAGCCACCACGAUGCUAACCACCACCACCGCUGUAGAUUUUGUCGUUCCGUCCUCCAUACUUAGCAUCCUCUACGCCAUUGGUUUCCACUGUGGCCUCUGCAAUGAAGGCGAGAAGAAGGCCGAGGAAAACAAAGGCUUUUGAACUCAUGUUUGUGUUUAAUAAGAGAUUGCUUUUGGGAGAUAUGGAUGAGAAAGAUUUGAAUUCUUAUGGUAUUUAUUGGUACAUAAAAGAGAAAGGGAGAUGAGAAUAUUGAGACAAUUGCAAUUAAAGACUGGCCCGUAAUUUAGUUGGGCAUUAGAUGAACUGAUUGAGAAGUAUUCUGAAAUGAAGAAGGAAAUUAAAAUUUGAGUCAGCUCUCUUAAAUAAUCUUUAUCGUUUAAAUGAUUUGUAAUUAGUCAAACUCUUUAGUAGUGUGACUGUAUCAAACUCCAAGAGCUUCUUUUAGCCAAUUAUCAAUAAUAAUAAUAAAUAUAAUUCUGGAAAAACAAUUUCUAGCAUGCUUUCAUUUUCUAUUCCUAAACUUGGUAAACAAAAUUCUUUGUCUUAAAAAUUAAAACUAAUAUUUUCAUAAAUUAUUUAGCAAAGUUGUUGGAAUAUGGACUGGUUUAUGAUUGUACCAAACAGCAAAAACAAGUUACAAACUACGAACCCAACUAUAUCGUUUAGAAACUGAGAGACCCACGUGGCGGAUGUUGCCUCACCCAAAAGCCACCGGAAAUUGCCUUCACUGGAGACCCACAUGUCGAACAACCAACUGCAAACCCCAAGAACAACCACGGCUGAAACAACCUCUCUGAUGGCUCGAACCCACUGCUAAACCAGCCGCCACACCGCGCGAAAUCCGCCGGUAGAACAUGGAAACUCGCCGACGUUAAAGCUCAGUCAGACGCCGUACUGCCCGAAAAACGAGACCGAAACGCGGAUGCUAAAGCUCUCUCCUCACCGGAAAACGCCCGACCCGACGAAGAACCUCAGAAUCUCCGUCGCGUGGCCGUCCGGUAAACGCCAUCAACGUCAACCCGUUCACCGUCGGCCCCUGCUCUUCUCUCUACUGUGUUUGUAGAAGAAACUUCAACUUUCCUCUCUCUCUAUUCUUGUGUAUUGCGGCAACCCCUCACCUCUCUCCUUUUCUUUUCACUGUAUUAAAAAUGGCAAGUGAUGUGAAUAAUUGCAAAAAUGUGUUCUUGUUAUUCCGCCAUCAACAAAACUAAAAAAACUUUGUUUAUUAAGAAAAUAAAUAAUCCACGUUGUUUAUUUCUUACAUUCUUUCAUAUUUCUUUAAUAAAAUAAGAGAACUUUUCUUUAUGUAUCACGGUGAAGAUAGAUAUUGUAUUAAGAAAAAUAUAUUUCUUAAUGAUCAUUUAUCAUGACCAUCAAGAAAUUAAAAAAUUGUGUUCCAAACCCUACAUCUCUCUUAAUGCAUCCUCUUUCACAAAUACUUCCGUUCCAAAAUAAUUACAGUCUGAGAAAAGUUUAGAGAGUAAAAACAAUUUCUCUCUCAAACAUUAAACCAAUAUAUAUAAAUGAUCCAUACAUAUAUAUAUGUGGAAAGUUCAAUAUGAAAUAUGUUAACAGUAUUGGUAAAAAUACUAUAUAUGGAUGGUCGUAAAAGAAAUACGUACUUUUUAAAAGUUGAACUUCCUCUUCAUCUCUGAUUGGAGAUAUUUGUUGAAAACUCCAAUAACACCUCAAAAUAAUAAUAGUAAUAAUUAUUACUAUUAUUAUUAUUACUAUUAUUGCGUAGGAUAGAACACCAUGAAAUGUUGAUAAAUUUAUUUAAUUGUGUCCUUGUCACUUGUCAGUACCACCAUAAACUUUAGAUAAUGCAGGCUGAGCAAACAUUUUUUUACUUUCUUUUCUCAUUUGUAUGCAAAAUAUAUUGCCACCAUAUAUCGUUUUGACUAAAGACGAAAGAAAGCGUGUAUACCUUAACUAUUAAAAUUUAUGUUCAAGUUAUGGAAAUAAAACCCUUAAUUACACAAAAUGAAAAUAUGUUUGUUGAUAUUAUAAAAUUUUACAAAAACCAAAUCUUUGCAAUAACAUACUAAAACCCAAACAUGGGGAAAAAGAAAAACUACAGAACCCACUCCUUCCAUUCCCCAUCUAUUUAUUUCUCAAACUUCUACCGUUCACACAUUUAACCAAACACACAAACUUUAAACCUUUUUAUUAUUUCAUCCCAUUCUACACCUUCUCUUAGGGUUUUGCACCCUCUACCACUUCACCAGCGUAGCUGCAGCACUUGUGCCCACAUCGACCAUAUCGGCAACCUCUGCCGUAGCCACCACGGCCACCACCAUAGCCUCCACGGCCACCGUAAUGACCACGACCAUACCCACCACGACCACCGCCAUAGCCUCUGUCGUACCCACCGCCAUAGCCUCUGUCGUACCCUCCACCAUAGCCUCUGUCGUACCCUCCACCAUAGCCUCUGUCGUACCCACCUCUUCCAUACUUGGCAUCCUCUACGCCAUUGGUUUCCACUGUGACCUCUGCAAUGUUAUAUUUAAAAUUAAUCCUUAACUUUACGAAAAUGUUAUAUAAAAUCAAAAUCUGUAUAUAAAGAUGUUAAAUAAUGAGUAUAUAUAUUUUACAUGAGUUUUUUCUUAAUAUUCGUGUCUGUUCGGAGUUAGUUUAUGUGUACCUAAACUAAGUUUACCGAACAAAUUUGGAUGUGAAAGGAACAAGCACAAAGAAUAUUAAAUCAUCAAUAGAAGACUACUAUGCAUUCAACUUCUUAGAUGACUUAAAAUUUAUUAUAACAUAAAACUCACCGUUGUCAGUCUUGGAGGAGGUCUCCGCAAGGUCCCUUGCAGCCACUUCAGAGGAGAGGAGAAGAACGAAGGCGAGAAGAAGGCCAAGGAAAACAAAGGCUUUGGAACUCAUAUUUGUGUGUAUUGUAAGAGAUUGGUUUUGGGGGAGAGGGAUGAGAAAGAUUUGCAUUCUUAUGGAGGUAUUUAUAGGUCCAUAAAAGGGAAAGUGAGAUGAGAAUUGAGACAAUGGCAAUGGCAAUUAAAGACUGGCCCAUAAUUUGGUUGGGUGUUAGAUGAACUGAUUGAGAAGUAUUUUGAAAUGAAGAAGAAAAUUUGAGUCAGCUCUCUUCAAAAAUCUUUAUCUUUUAAAUGAUUUGUAAUCAGUCAAACUCUUUAGUAGUGUGACUGUAUCAAACUCCAAGAGCUUCUUCUAUCCAAUUAUCAAUAAUAAUAAUAUAAUUAUGGAAAAACAAUUUGUAGCAUGCUUUCAUUUUCUAUUUCCUAAACUUGGUAAACAAAGUUAUUUGUCUUAAAAAUUAAAACUAAUAUUUUUCAUAAAUUACUUACCAAAAUCUAUCAAGUAAAUACUGUAGGUUAGUUAUUUAGGGUUCAUUUUUUUCACCUUGUGUUUUUUCUUAAAAAAAUUGAUGUUUAAUUAGAUUUUUUUUUCUAUUAAUGAUUGAUUUGUUUUGGUAUAUCAUUUUCGAUCCAAUAUAACAAAAUGAACAAAAUAUGUGACAUUUUUUAAAAUAAAAAAUAAAUUAAAAUAUUUACAAAGUAUAACAAAAUUUUAAAUUCUAUCAAUGAUAGAAACUGAUAUGCUACUAUCACUGUCUAUCCAUCUCACUAAUAGAAACAUGUUAAUGUCUAUCAAUGUCUAUUAUUGAUAAAAUAUGAAAAUCGUACUAUUUGUUGUAAAUAUUUUGUCAAAUUUACUAUUUUUUACCAUUCUCUCUUAAAAAAAUAUUUAUAAAUACAGUAAAUUUCAAAAUCUAUCAAAGAAAUUGGUAGAAAUAUUUAUAUAGUAUAUGUGAUAUAAAUAAACACUAAUAUGAUUGAAGUUUUUUGUGUCUACUAAUAUCUAUAUUUUUUAUAUUUCUAAAUUUGGCUAUAUUUAUAAAUAUUUUCAAGAAUUUUAGUUUAUACAUUUUCAAAUGGUUUAUCUUAUAUAAAAUUUGAAUAGACAAACAUAAAAUAAAGCACAGCACAAUAAAGAAAACGUUAUUGAAUAGCUUCCACUGAACCCAAUUUGCAAAUAUCAUUGAUAUUUGUAAUAUUCUUUUAAUGCUAUGUUUUCUUACAAGAUAACGAGAGGAUAUUUUUAUAUUUAUGUGAAACUCAUCAACUUAUAUGAAAAUGUCAAAACAACAUUUAUUUAUUUCAUACUCUUCAACUUGGUGUCUGUCAUUCUUUAAAUAGAAUUUUCAAAGCUCAUAAAAAUCUCUCGAAAUUUGAGAAGAUAUCAACGCCCUUACGGAUCAUUGGACAAGCAUAUCUCCUCUCUUCAAAAAUUAUUUUGAUAGCUCUAUUGCUCUAAGUAUUUAUGCUUUUGUUUAAUUGUACUGACUUUGGGUCUUUCUUGGACUUUCCUCUAACCCUUGCUUUUGUUUUCCCUUCUUUCCAUAUUAUCUAUUAUAUAUUAAUGAAGCAUGAAUGAUGAUGAUGCUACGAAGGUACUGUUCACAUAGUGGAGAUGAUGAGAUGUCUUAGUGCAUCUAUUGACCUAUCUCGUAUCUUUUUUAAAAAAAAAAAAACAUUUAUAUAUUUCGUAUACUAUAAUUUUGCAAUAAAUUUAAGAGACCUUUAUAAAACUAACUCCCAAACUAUGCGGGGUAGUGAUAGUUGUGAAACCUAUUUCUAAUUUGAGUAUAGAAAGUAAAAUUUGGUUAAGUAUUUUGAAAAUUUGUAUUUUGGAUAAGAGGAGACAUUUUGAAAUAAGACUUUGCGAUAAGAAGUAUGUGUUUGAAUCAAUCCACAGAAAUGAUUAAGUGAUAAAAUCUUUUAUGGUUAAGUAUAAGUUUUGUUAUUAAGAAGUUAAUUCACGAGGGAGUUUUGAGAAAAGAAUGAUUUGCAAUAGGACCUAUAAACACUUUCAAUAGAAAGAGUCUUCACGAGAAAAUGUUGAAGUUAUUCGUAGAAUGGAAAUAGGCGAGAAGUAAGGUCUGGCAAAGAAAACGUCUAUCUGAUUUGACAGGGGUUAAUGUGUAAGAUUAAAGGUUUAAGCAUGACUGAGUUAAAUAUUAAAUUUACAUGUGUAAAGUUUUAAUCAGGAACCAGCGAACUUAAAAGAGUUUAAGCAUGACUAAGUUAGUUUAAGAGCUAUGUAAAUAAAGGACCUAGUCAUUAAGUAAGCACAUAGAUUUUAUUAAAAAAAAAUUACUAAAAUGUUGUUGUUUUGCUUGACGAGAAAAAGAAAAAAAAAAACAAAGUGUUAAGUGCUACGAUGUGUUUCACAAGAAGGCUCCACAAAAGAAAAGGAAGAGAAGGAUUUUUGAUAAAGUGUGGGAAUGUUUUCUCUUAAAUGAAUUAAUUAUGUUAAAAAAUUUAUUAUAAUUUCUCUUUACUUAUUUAAAAGAAGAAUUCCAAUGAUAAGUGUUUCAAAUGAAAUUUAUAUCAAAAGUCUAUAUGUUUUCAAGUAUGAUUUAUAAUGUUAAAGUUGUUUUCUUGAGAUGAUGCUAACUUUUAUGUGCACAUAAAGAGUCAAGGUUACUAUGGGGUGUACAAGGCUACAUGGUGAUAAGAAGCUGGUUUAUGCUUUGAAAUGAGCGUAUAAAGCUUAGUUGGCCUGAGCAACAAGGACAAUCUGUAUGUUUUCGGAUGUUGUUGAUACAACAGUCUAAAUGUAGGGUAAUGAGACCAAACGUAGAAAACGAUUCGAGAUCCUUGAUGAAAAGUAUAAUUGACUAAUGGGUGUUAUUGUGAAAUGAAUCUUGAUGUGAUUCACAAGUUGAACUAAUUUUAUUGUAAAAAUGAUUAUAUACGUUUUGAUAUGUUUUGCCAAAUGAAGUGUUUAUUGAUAAACUGAUUUGUGUUGAAAUUUAUGAUUUGACGAAAAACAUUUUCAAAGAGCAUUGCAAAAAGGAUUUCAUUAAAACCUCACUAAAUCUUUUAAACUUGCAUUUUAAAUUUUAUCUUCCAAGAUUUAGCAUUUAGGCCAAUUAAAGAAGAAGGUUGAAGGGCUUGCGGCAAGUUGAGAAAGCCACGAGGCGUUAAAGAGCUUUGAUCGAUAAAUGUUAAUUAUUUGAUCAAAAUGUUGUAAUUGUUUGUUCAUACCAAACGCCUGUUAUUAAUAUAUUAAAGUGUGUGUUUCAGGUUAUGUUACUUAUUGUACUUGGCAUUUAAAGUUGAUUUUCGCUACGUUUUGAGUUUCACUUCAUAGUUUGAAAGGAGUUGAGAAUAAGCUAGGCAGUAAGACUAAUUGUAAAGUUUAAUUAAAGUUAAAUCUUGUAAAGUUUAAAGUUAAAUCAUGUAAAGUUUAAAGUUAAAUCACGUCCUAUCCGCACAACUUCCUGCAAUUUUGUUGUCGGAACAGAGUGUGACAAUAGCGAUGCACCUAAACUAAAUUUACUAUUUUGGUUGUUACAGUGGUCGAUAUGAAUAUAGAUCAAUGGAAAGAAGAAUAUCAACAUCCUCUCUAAAACUUAAAUAUAUUAAUCUAAAAUUUUCAUUUUUAUGUUAAAUUGAGAAGAAGAAGAAAAAAAAAAGAAACGAAAGCAAAAGUAUUAGGUAAUAAAAAUAUUUUGAAGAUGAAAAAAAUUUGAAGUACUCUUGAAAGCAUGAAUAAAUAAAAUUUGGUUCCACUUGUAUUGUUGAAUAUCCUCUUGUUCCUUUCCAACCAAAUGUUCCAGAUAACCCCAUCAACAGACUGUAAUUGUUGAUUUCAUAACACACAAACUUGAAAUCAACAAUUAAGUAAUAGAAGACCGUAAAGAUCGACACACAGAUAAAACAUGGUUCACUAACAGUGUAUUAGCAACUACAUCCACAAACAAAGGAAGAAAAAAUAUGGUUAGGAGAGAGUGUUUUCUAAUACAAAUGUAGCUGGAUAGAGUGCAUCCAAUGAAAUUCUCAUUGUUUUGGUUGCAGACCGAGCACGCCAACUUGGAUUAAGGCAGUGAUUUGGGAGGCUAUUUAGCAGAAUAAUCUCCACAGUGUUUCCCGGGUAGAAUUUAGCAUAAGAAAAAAUUUCACUUCUUAAUUAGAAUGGGAGAUUUUUACAAAUUAUUAAAGAUUGUCAGGACUAAGAUUUUCUAUCUUUGGAAGAUCAUUUCCUCUUUCCUCGUUAGGCUUAGGGAAAGA
Molecule: long non-coding RNA, 29319 nt
Filed under: Cucumis sativus (cucumber)
Lineage: Eukaryota; Viridiplantae; Streptophyta; Magnoliopsida; Cucurbitales; Cucurbitaceae
Description: long non-coding RNA (CSAT_LNC002604)
Source: RNAcentral